CCAACGUGGACAUCCUGUGAGAUGGCUCUCAUGUGGCUCUGUCCGUGUGGCAUAAGGGAGCGCAGCACUUCGGUGCCAUGACGUACAGUCCCGUUCCAUGACGUUGGAUAGCAAGCUUGUCCCCGGCCUCUGUUGGGGUGUGUUUCCCCUGUGGUUUUUUUUUUUUUUUUUUGGGGGGGGGGGCUUUU
The sequence is a small nucleolar RNA, 188 nucleotides long. Its record names the gene SNORA73. It matches the Rfam family "Small nucleolar RNA SNORA73 family". From Rfam's summary of the family: U17 (SNORA73A and SNORA73B) also known as E1 belongs to the H/ACA class of small nucleolar RNAs (snoRNAs). Vertebrate U17 is intron-encoded and ranges in length from 200-230 nucleotides, longer than most snoRNAs. It is one of the most abundant snoRNAs in human cells and is essential for the cleavage of pre-rRNA within the 5' external transcribed spacer (ETS). The record is from Ensembl.